AGAGUUUGAUCCUGGCUCAGGACGAACGCUGGCGGCGCGCCUAACACAUGCAAGUCGAACGAGAGAGAAGGAGCUUGCUUCUUCGAUCGAGUGGCGAACGGGCGAGUAACGCGUGAGGAACCUGCCUCAAAGAGGGGGACAACAGUUGGAAACGACUGCUAAUACCGCAUAAGCCCACAGGUCGGCAUCGGCCAGAGGGAAAAGGAGCAAUCCGCUUUGAGAUGGCCUCGCGUCCGAUUAGCUAGUUGGUGAGGUAAUGGCCCACCAAGGCGACGAUCGGUAGCCGGACUGAGAGGUUGAACGGCCACAUUGGGACUGAGACACGGCCCAGACUCCUACGGGAGGCAGCA
Molecule: ribosomal RNA, 350 nt
Filed under: uncultured bacterium
Lineage: Bacteria
Description: bacterial SSU rRNA
Rfam family: Bacterial small subunit ribosomal RNA
Source: RNAcentral